This 253-nucleotide ribosomal RNA is filed under the name uncultured bacterium. RNAcentral describes it as "partial 16S ribosomal RNA". It matches the Rfam family "Bacterial small subunit ribosomal RNA", at positions 524 to 776 of the family's 1533-position model. The record is from RNAcentral.
UACAGAGGUCCCAAGCGUUGUUCGGAUUCACUGGGCGUAAAGGGUGCGCAGGUGGUCGGGUAAGUCUGAUGUGAAAUCUCCGAGCCUAACUCGGAAACUGCGUCGGAUACUAUUCAACUCGAGGAAUGGAGGGGAGACUGGAAUUCUCGGUGUAGCAGUGAAAUGCGUAGAUAUCUGGAGGAACACCGGUGGCGAAGGCGGCAUCCUGGACCGGCAUUGACGCUGAGGCGCGAAAGCCAGGGGAGCAAACGGG